UAGGGAAUUUUGGGCAAUGGGCGAAAGCCUGACCCAGCAACGCCGCGUGUGGGAUGAAGGCCCUCGGGUCGUAAACCACUGUCAGGAGGAAAGAAAAGUCGGCCGGAUAAUACUCGGUCGACCUGACGGUACCUCCAAAGGAAGCACCGGCUAACUCCGUGCCAGCAGCCGCGGUAAUACGGAGGGUGCAAGCGUUGUUCGGAAUUACUGGGCGUAAAGCGCGUGUAGGUGGUCGAGUAAGUCGAAUGUGAAAACCCCGGGCUCAACCCGGGAAGUGCAUCCGAAACUGCUCGACUAGAGUCCCGGAGAGGAAGGCAGAAUUCCCAAUGUAGGGGUGAAAUCCGUAGAUAUUGGGAGGAAUACCGGUGGCGAAGGCGGCCUUCUGGACGGUGACUGACACUCAGACGCGAAAGCGUGGGGAGCAAACAGGAUUAGAUACCCCCGUAGUCCCUGAGCGGGCUGGCAAGGCGCAU
Molecule: ribosomal RNA, 473 nt
Filed under: uncultured bacterium
Lineage: Bacteria
Description: bacterial SSU rRNA
Rfam family: Bacterial small subunit ribosomal RNA
Source: RNAcentral